UACGGAGGAUGCGAGCGUUAUCCGGAUUUAUUGGGUUUAAAGGGUGCGUAGGCGGUCCGUUAAGUCAGCGGUAAAAUUGCGGGGCUCAACCCCGUCGAGCCGUUGAAACUGUCAGACUUGAGUUGGCGAGGAGUACGCGGAAUGCGCGGUGUAGCGGUGAAAUGCAUAGAUAUCGCGCAGAACUCCGAUUGCGAAGGCAGCGUACCGGCGCCACACUGACGCUGAGGCACGAAAGCGUGGGGAUCGAACAGG
RNAcentral lists this ribosomal RNA (252 nucleotides) under uncultured bacterium. RNAcentral's name for it is "partial 16S ribosomal RNA". It matches the Rfam family "Bacterial small subunit ribosomal RNA", at positions 524 to 776 of the family's 1533-position model. The record is from RNAcentral.